UACGGAGGGGGCUAGCGUUGUUCGGAAUUACUGGGCGUAAAGCGCGCGUAGGCGGCUUUGUAAGUCAGAGGUGAAAGCCUGGAGCUCAACUCCAGAACUGCCUUUGAAACUACGUCGCUAGAAUUGUGGAGAGGUAAGUGGAAUUCCGAGUGUAGAGGUGAAAUUCGUAGAUAUUCGGAAGAACACCAGUGGCGAAGGCGACUUACUGGACACAUAUUGACGCUGAGGUGCGAAAGCGUGGGGAGCAAACAGG
This 253-nucleotide ribosomal RNA is filed under the name uncultured bacterium. RNAcentral's name for it is "partial 16S ribosomal RNA". It matches the Rfam family "Bacterial small subunit ribosomal RNA", at positions 524 to 776 of the family's 1533-position model. The record is from RNAcentral.